Long non-coding RNA from Ctenopharyngodon idella (grass carp), 1807 nucleotides. RefSeq lists it as uncharacterized. The record is from RefSeq and is a predicted model, not a curated record. The transcript has 2 exons. NCBI's taxonomy places the organism in Eukaryota, Metazoa, Chordata, Actinopteri, Cypriniformes, Xenocyprididae.
GGGUGUGGAACGGCAUGAGGGUGAGUAAUAAAUGACAUUAUUUUCAUUUUUGGGUGAAAUAACCCUUUAAGCAGUCGACCAAUCACAACAGACUGGGUCAUCUGACCAGAGCAAUCAGAGCAGAGUAGGCUCUCGGAAAGGCGGGGUUUAGAGAGACUGACGCUGCAUCCGAAAUCGAAUACUUCGUACUUUUUUAAUGAUCUCGAAGUAAAAUUCAAAUGUAGUACCUACUCAGUAUGCAAAUUCAAACACAGUGUGAAUCUUCGAACAAACCGUUUUCAGACUCUUUGAGAAAUGAGGUGAUGUGCAAUGUAUAUUUUGAGAAAAUUAAAGUGUUUUUGACCUUGGAUACAUGUAAACAUAUUGUAGGAGACUCCAAAACAAAAUUAGGAACCUUCUAACAGGAUAAUAGGAGCACUUCAAGACUUUCAAAAUAAAAUCAAUUUGGUAGCAGGAUUUCAAAACAACAUCCUGUGGUGGCCAAACAAUAUUUUCUAAUUUCUUCUGAUACAUUUUUGCUAGUGAGAUCAUACUGGAUAAUGGUUACGUACUGGUGUAGUUUUAGCUCAUAAUUCUUGGAGUGUAUUUUUGUGUUUGUUCAUAAGUUUGAAUUUGGAGAGCUUGUCCCUUAUCUUCAAACCAUACCAACUUUUACAGUAUCAGUUUGAGUGCAGUGUGAGAGCUGGCGAGUGUGUGUCCGGGUUCUGACCGGGCAGGCUGAAAGUGACGUCGUGGUCAGAGCUGCGUCUGUGAGCUGCAGAUAAAGGCUUUAUUGGAGUUGGUGUUAAUGAACCGUUGGCACCAGCACACACACAUACACCACCGAUGGCACAUAAAAACACAGACACACAAAAAGCAUGAGGUUUUUACACGCUCUGGACCUGAGGGACACCUCGCAACCGACCUGUCCUACUUCACUUACAGAGAAAUCAAUAUAUCCCCUCUCUAUAUCUUCUGUACCGUUUUAUUCGGCCUUCCUCUCUUUUGUUUGGGGGUUUAGGGGCCCUGGAUCAGCAGUGUGUGUUGAAUACUAGAGUAGAUCUCGCUGUAAGCCGUUGGCAACAGAGUGGUUUCUGUUUUUUUUUAGUGUGUGUGAAUUGAGCAGGGUUUGCUGUGGUGGUUUGUGUGUACAGUAAGUGUGAACUCUCAGCAUCAUGAGAGGCAAGAUUCGCUCAGCAGUCUCUAGUGAUGGAGAAAGAUCUGGCAACCUUGACGAUGAUAGUGCCAUGCUGUGCUAAUUGAGCUACUGGACAAAAGAGCUGCUCUGAGCGCUGGGGACAGUGAGCCAGGUGUCAGAAAGAUGCUAUUAUUGCACUGAAGCCAUACAUUUGGGUCGGGACUGUGAGCAUGUGUUUGUGUGUGUAUGUGUGUGUGUGAGAGAGAGAGAGAAAGAGAGAGAGAUCAGUCUGGCAGAUGAUCAGAGAAGUCUCUCUCUCUAAGAGCUCUUUCACCGUUUCACUCUGACGUUCUUAUUUAACACACAUCAGACUGUCACUGUCAGAUCCUGUCUAAGUCUACACACACACACACAGAGUUGACUGCAUUUAUAAAUGCUGGAGCACAGAUCAAAGCAUCCUAUAGCAUAGUGCACACAAUGCUUUGUUCGUGUGCAGCAUGUGUAAGUGACAACAUCUAUUACAAAAUGCGCUCUAUAAGUCUAUGUUAUAGAUGGAAUGGCACGGAUACAACUUUUUCCUGUGGCGUUUCUGUUUUUGCUGCUUAAUAUUUUUGUGAAAUUAAAAAAGAAAAAGAAAAAGAAAAAUAAUAAAAAAUAUAAAAUAAAAUACAAAAAAAAAAAAAAAAAAAA